RNA transcript from Raphanus sativus (radish), 1566 nucleotides. RefSeq lists it as uncharacterized. NCBI's taxonomy places the organism in Eukaryota, Viridiplantae, Streptophyta, Magnoliopsida, Brassicales, Brassicaceae. The transcript has 5 exons. The record is from RefSeq and is a predicted model, not a curated record.
UGCUUCAAAUACAAACAGAACAAAGAAAAAGAAGAAGAAAGAAAGAACAAAUACUUAUCUCUUUUGGUUAUCUCUUUGUCUGAAUUUUUUUAAAAAUGGAUCCUACUUUGAAUGAUCAUCAAGAGUUGGAACAAAUCGAAGCUAUUGAUGAUCUUCUUGAAGAUUUCUGGUUCUUUGAUAACUUACUUGACAGAAGAUCAAGAAUCUUGAGGUACUGCCAUUCAGAUCCUUAUCCUCUUUCUCCUCCUUCCUCUUCCACUUGUCCGAACUCAAAAGAUGGAGAUUCGGUUUCAGACAAGAAGCUUCUAAAAGCUCCCACAGGGGGAGACUCGGUUCAACUACCGUGUAUAGUGAAUAAAGAAGGUGGAAGCGAGCCUGAGAAGAUGAACAAGAUGAGAAGGCAGUUCUCUGAAAAGAUUAGGGUUCAAGAACGAAGAACUUACUUGCAGAAGAAGGAACCUGUCGUUCGUGAGAAGGGGAGUAGAGAAAGCUCUAAAAAGAACAGAGCUGGUAGUACUAGUAGUUUUUGUAAUAACAAUAGUUUGCAGAGAACUCAGACGUUACCGAGUUACAUAGGAAGAGAAGAUGUCGGAAAUGAGUUUCAAGAUCAAGAGAUUGACGAUUCGAGAAUGGGAUUCUUGAUCCGUGAAGCCAUCGCUAGCUCUUCUUCUGAGUUUACUCCAACGAAACACAACACACCAAAGAGUUCAAGCAUUCCAAGACCUAAACCACCGAGACACUCGAGAUCAGAAGAAGCUAUUCAAGAGAUGGUGGCCAAGUCACAAAGAAGCCCAAGAGGUAAGACGCUGCGUAAGACGUUAAGCAGCGUCGAUACAAAAGAGCUUCUUAUGUUGAAGGACUUGGACAUUACCGAACCUGAGACGAACCAAGCAAAAGAUGAGGAAGAACAGAGGAGGGUUCCACGGGCAGCGGUGAAAAGUAGGUCUGCAGCUGUGGUGGUGGGUCAGCCGAUUCCUGUUUGGGUCCCAAAGGAGUCGAGAAGAGAUAUGAAAACUCAGAUCAAGUUUUGGGCUCGAACUGUCGCAAGUAAUGUUCGACAAGAAUGCUGAAAACAUGCAUUGGUUUUUCUUUGACAACAAAUGAUUCUCUCUAUAAGUGGAGUCAUUGCUCUCAUUACUCUAUAACUUCAUUACUACUAAUCUACUGUUGAGUCAGGGCUCUCAAUCGUCAGACUAUUUCUGAUAACUUCUCGGUUAGGCAAAUCACAGUAUCCGUAAGGACUAUCAUCAACGGAAUAUGCUAUCUAGCAACAUUUGUUUUCAGUAUCAACGCGGUCGUACAUCUCCUUUACUCUGGUCAGCUAGCGUUCAAUGAAGAGUCUGAUGAAGCCAUGCAGGCCACCACAACAGAGCCUGAAGGAGACUCAUCAGGCGACAGGAGUGAAUUUAAUAAAAGCAGUGAAGAUCAAAGCUCGGGUGAUUAGUAGGCAACAUGUAACAAUAAUGUCAUAAGUUUUACUUAUACAGUAAUCUGCUAGUUUUGAUGUGAGCAUUAGACUAACGGAUACAGAUUUUCAUGAAAAAAACAUUAGCAUAGAGAAAUAAA